This 970-nucleotide ribosomal RNA is filed under the name Rhaetulus recticornis. RNAcentral describes it as "partial 16S ribosomal RNA". The stretch from base 377 to 970 matches the Rfam family "Archaeal large subunit ribosomal RNA", at positions 1423 to 2654 of the family's 2987-position model. Lineage: Eukaryota; Metazoa; Arthropoda; Insecta; Coleoptera; Lucanidae. The record is from RNAcentral.
GGUUUUAGAUUAUGAUUUCUCGAAUUAAGGAGGGCUAGGGAGGUAUAAAUUUUACUGUGGAAUAAUUAUUUUAAAUACCUUUCUUGAAAUGAAAUAUUAGUCGUUCUUUAAUAUAUCUGGUUUUUUUAGAAAUUAAUUUAAUUAAGCUGAUUUGUAAUUAAUUUAUUUUAGAAAUUUAUUUUGUGGUCAAGUAAUACUCAAAGGGAUAAGCUUUUGAGUAAAAUUUUAGAACAUUUUUUUAGUCAGAUUUGAAGUAGGAAUAGAAGUUUUCAUCUUUUGUAGUGAGUUGUUUCAAGAUUUUAGUUUAGGUAAUUUUUUAAAAUGUUUAGAUAUUUUAUAAAAACUAGAGAUUUAAUUUUAGAUUCUGUGGGAUAAUGAUUGAAUUAGUAUAUAUUUCUGUUAAUUAAAUUUUCUUUUUGAGAGAUUGAGUUAAGGAAUUCGGCAAAUUUAUUUCCUGCCUGUUUAUUAAAAACAUGUCCUUUUGUAAAUAAUUUGAGGUCUGGCCUGCCCAAUGAUUUGUUUAAUGGCCGCGGUACUCUGACCGUGCAAAGGUAGCAUAAUCAUUAGUUUUUUAAUUGAAAGCUUGUAUGAACGGUCGGACAAGGAAAUAUCUGUCUUUAUUUGAAGAGUAGAAUUUUAUUUUUUAGUAAGAAAGCUGCAAUGAGUUUGAGGGACGAGAAGACCCUAUAGAAUUUUAUAGGUUGUUUAUUUAUUGGUUUUAGGAUUUAUUUGGCUGAUUGGUAAAUUGCUUAUUUUGUUGGGGUGAUGGAAAAAUUUGUUUAACUUUUUUUUAUUUUUUUUACUUAUUGGUAAGUUUUUGAUCCACAAUUAGUGAUUAUAAGAUUAAAUUACCUUAGGGAUAACAGCGUAAUUGGUUUGGAGAGUUCUUAUCGAUAAACUAGUUUGCGACCUCGAUGUUGGAUUAAAAUGAACUUAUGGUGUAGGGGCUAUUAGGUUAAGUCUGUUCGAC